UGGCUAGAGUGUCUCGGCUGUUGACGCUUAUCAGAGAUGCCUUCUUCUACCUGUUACAUAUAUUUCCUGCCGGCACAAAGUUAUAAUACCCUUCUAUUCUAUGGAUAUCUCAUACUUUUUAUACGGACAGGCUGUCAGUCAAACGGAGAUGGGUUUAUCAUCUGUGCUCUUCACAUUGAUCAAGUGUUAAUAUGUAUAUAUACUGUAUUCGGAGAUAUUGCAGAUCUACUCUUUGAGUAAUACCAAUUGGGCAUAAGAAAGUGAAAAAACCAAUAGUAAACCAUUAAGGUUUAGCAAAUCUAAGUGGAACAAGAACUGCAUGGGAGUUUAAGGCAAAAUACAAAUCUUCAUCUGAUAUAUACUAUACAUAUUUCAACACUAAAAUAAUUACGACCAAAAACAACAAUCAUUAGACUCCGAAACCUUAGAUGGGUAUCUUCAGAAGAGGAAAAUGGAGACGUUCUCGAUGGGUCAAUAGCAAAAAACAGAUCAGGUGGUCUUCCCAGACAAUUUGGUGUAUCAUUAAUCUGGGACAAUGAUACACACGAAACACAUAUAAAAACAUUAAUUAGCGAGGGACGCAAUCCAAUAUUAAAAUAACCACGGUUAGCAGAUCACGAUCAAAAUUCUUACUUUUAAUUAUAGAAAACAAAGCUGGAGGAAUAUACGAAAAGAAGAUAAAACAAGUAAGAAAGUUACAGUCGACCCAUUUUUAAUAAAGGCAAAAUAUUGCGGUAUUAUUUUCAAAAUAUCCCGAUAAUACUAAAAAAACUAAAAAUAUACCAAAUGGAAUGUUUGGUAUAUCGAUAUAGUACACCAUUCAAAAUAUACCAUAGACGGCACAAUGUACCGGAUUGUCGG
This is a long non-coding RNA of Drosophila nasuta, 861 nucleotides long. RefSeq lists it as uncharacterized. The record is from RefSeq and is a predicted model, not a curated record. NCBI's taxonomy places the organism in Eukaryota, Metazoa, Arthropoda, Insecta, Diptera, Drosophilidae. The transcript has 3 exons.